This 188-nucleotide long non-coding RNA is filed under the name Fukomys damarensis (Damara mole-rat). Its description in RNAcentral is "lncRNA (ENSFDAG00000032488.1)". The record is from RNAcentral. Lineage: Eukaryota; Metazoa; Chordata; Mammalia; Rodentia; Bathyergidae.
CUUCCUCCCAGGCUUAGUGCAGGACUCCAUUUCUUUUCUUCUUCCUGGCACCAUUCAAAGGCCUGGGAAUGAAACUGUACAGAAGAACCACUUUCCCUGCGGAAAAGCAAAGUGUGCUGGGUGACGGAGGCCACAGACUAUAGCCCCAUUCAUUCCUGGACGGCUGUGUUUUCCUACUUGGAGGCGAG